Anas platyrhynchos (mallard) is the source of this 5817-nucleotide non-coding RNA. Lineage: Eukaryota; Metazoa; Chordata; Aves; Anseriformes; Anatidae. The record is from RefSeq and is a predicted model, not a curated record.
AUGAUUUUCAAGAUCAUCCCAGGAAGUCCCUGAGACACAAACAACCCUCACCUGUGAAACAGGGAGGGUAGGCUGCAUGCUGGCCCUGCUCUGGGUCAGUCCUGGUGGCAAGUUGGUUGCUGGCUGCAUCAGGUGUGCAAAAGUAGGAAGGAGCUGGGAGCUGCACCUGCUUUGCAGGUCUCCACUGAGCACUUCAGCUUGGGAGCUCAUUUAAAAGUUCCUGUCCAUCUUCUUGGAAGUGUCAUGUGAGCAGGGUAAUAUAGGGAAAAGAAGAAAAAAGAAAAGAAAAAAAAAAAAAAAGAGCUGUCCUGAGUUGGAAGGCUGUGUGUUGAGCUGCUGCUUGAAGCGUUUGCAGCCUCUGGGGACCGUCAUUUGAGGAGGGGAGCUGGCUGUGGCUGUGAGCCCAACCCAAGGCAACAAAGCACCACAAAGCAUAAUAACUCUCCUCACCACUGUCUGUACUGCUGUACCCCAUCUGAAAUGCUGAAGCAAAACUAUGAGCCUGAGGUUCCCAACCUGUUGUGACCCAUCCCAAACCCAAGGAACCCAGAACUUAAAACAGGACACCUGAAUACCACAAAAGUGCUUCACUGUCUUGUGUAGCCUUGACAUAUGCAUUGCAAAGUAUUCUUUGGGCUCACUGUGCAGUAAAUACCUGUGGCACAGAGAUGCACUCCUGUGAAGAGAAGGCAUCAGCUUGAUAAAUGAAUUAUUGAGUAAAACUAUGAUCAGACUAGAUAAUCACAGUGAUCCCUUCUGGCCUUAAAAUCUAUUAUCUUAAUUCUCAUUUACCCUGAGGCUGUUUUACCUCGCUCUAGCUAUAUAAAUGGACCUUAAGGUUUGAAUAUUUAUAUCCCCUUUGAGGUAUCUUUAUGUUGCCAGAGUGAUGCCUCGGUAACCUUUGUGUGAAUGAGAAUGAGGAGCUCCACGGCCCUGGAUUGCCAGGGUGGAAGCUGGCUCAGGGGCUGGGGUUCUGCUCAUUUCUGUGGUUUUCCUUGUAUGAUCAAUACAUGUAGACUGUUUGGGAGUCCUUGUUUUAAUAUUUUAUUAACAUCGAUUCACUUUGCUUAUGCCUUUUGUGCUGAGGAUUGACUAAUUACUGACAUAAGCCAAUCCACCUGCAUCUGGCUAAAAUCAGGGUGUACACAUUUCUCAGGUGUUAUAUGAUAUAGUACCCACCUCAGGAGUGAAAAGAAGUCAUAGAGUAAACUGGUAAGGGCUAUAAGCUUGGAAAUGAGUUCUAAUGACCCACAGCUGGACAUCAGUCAGCAUCAGAGGACCAUGUGCUGGGAGGUUGUUCCCAAAAAGUCUGUCCAGUCCAGUCAAGGCUGCAGUACAUUGUAAGGCUUAUGUAACAGUAAUCUGGCCCUUGUGUGAUGGAAACCACACUUCGUAGCGACAGUAGUGAAAUAUAUGACUCUGUAGUGCUAGUGACUCUCAGCUGGUGCACCAGGAGCUUGCUAUGAAGGUAGAACAGCUUGAUCCAGUGACUACCUUUUAAUGGCAUCGUGGCUGUGUUGCCAAGGUUGGAUUUUCUGCACUAGACCCUGCAGCAGGAUGGCCCUGAUGAGCAGCACAAGUGUGCACACUCUCAUCACAGCUUCGUGGUGUAAACAUGGUCUAAUAAUAAACAAAAAUCAUGGUGGGUACUUGGUUUAGAAGAACAUCUGCUCACUAAUCUGUUUUUAAACUGUGUAGUGGCUCUUCCCCAUAAGCCUUUCACUUGGAUGAAAAGAUAGUAAAGGAGGAAAAAAACAAAACAAAACACAAAAGAGAACUUCAGAUGCUCCAGAUUCCUGCUGGAUAAACACUGGCAUUCAUUGCUUCCUGGAGCACAGCACACUGCUCCCUGCAUGGAGCCCUUCACACUGUUAAAGUUGACCCAAAUGCCUCCUACAGAGAGGGACUCUUUUUGUUUUGUUGGGUAUUGAAUGCAACGUUACAAGCCAUGACUUAUGGCAGGAGAAAAGCAGACACCCGAGGACAGAUUCCUCUGUUGCAUAAUUCCGCAGCUGAGAAAUGUGCCAGGGAAUGCAGAAUUAUGACCGAGACUUUUCCAGCUUUCCUCCUUGUUGUCUUCAUGGCCCAGCAGAAAAUUGUGACAGCUGUAAGUGAGGAAAAAUGGAGCUUUAUUGCUUUCUGGACUAGUCAGAUGGCCCUUCUACAAUUGUAAGAAGUGAGAACUGGUCCUCUUAAUGGAUCUAUAGCAAAGCCAUUGACUUGGUCAGUCUAUCUAUAGUGAUUGCUCUCCUAGCCUAGAAGUGCUCCCUGCGGCUCUCUGUAAAUGCCUCUAGCAUCUUCCCACUUGCAAAUCAACAGUUGCCGUGCCUUCCUGCAGAAGUCCAGACCAUCGCUAUGCCUUGUCAGUGCAAGUGAAAACAAAUGGAACAAGCUAAACUUAAAACUACACGUCUGGUAAAGCACCAACCCAACAGGCAGAAUUUAUUCAAAGCAAACAGCAGGGAAUAACUUCUGUUGAUGCUAUUAAAUUAUUAUUUUGAAAUAUGAGAAUUGCCAGCCAGACCGUGACAGGGCAUGUGCCCAUGGUGCUCCCUCCAGUCCCCCUGCCCAGGACUGCUGGGGAAAGUGUUUGCAAUGUAUUCUGGCCACCUUGUUUUGGAGACUGGUGCUGGGUCCAUGCUGUCCCUUCCCAAAUCAGGGUGCAGGGCUCGGCAGACCAGGAUUAUCGAUCGUGGCAGCACCCACUUCUGCUGCACAAGCACCUUAGUGAAGUGGUGGGCUUCUUCAAGCUUAUUCCUUUGGAUGUUGCCUCCUACUAUGCUGUAUGGAGCCCUAAUGUGGUGUAACUUGAUGUGGGAUGAUGUUACACGAUGCACUGUGUGAGAAAAGCCAACUUGGCCUCUCCUGGCAUCAACCACUUGCUGGUGGUUCCCACUGUGACGUCACGGGUCAGCUUUUGGAUGGCGAGCAGCAGCACGGGUGUUUGGAAGAACCAGGAAAUGUUCAUUAAGCAAGUCUAAAUCCCAUUAGCAAAUUUUCGUAAAGUGGUAACACAGGGGCAAUAUUAGCCUUAUUAGUCUAAUAUGAGAGUCAUUCUUAUGACAGAGAAAAGUGCCAAUAAAGUCUUUUAUUUUGUACAGGCUACGUUCACUUGUGUGCCCUUAGUGACGGGAUGCAGAAUUCUGUUCUCACAGAGUCAGUUCAAAGCUUUGGAGUACAGGGGAUGAACAUGAAGGCCAUGGGCCUUGCUGACAAACCAGGGAUCAGGGCUGUGGGGGUGGGCUUGGCCAGUCUUCAAUCUGAAUAGAAAAAUGGGCUGCCACCUAUUUCUGAUUUCAUCUUCAGAUCUUAAAGCUUUUUAUAAGGAGAUAUGUUAUGAAAUAAUUUGUACAUUUUGCAAGCUACUGGCUUUCCUCUUGCUUGAUUGCUUUGCUUGUGGUAUAAAACUUGUUCUGUAGGCUGCACCACACGAUCCCAGCUGAAAUGGGAAGCCUCACCUGGACAGACAGUGGGUUGCUGGAGUAGAGGGACUGCGUGUGGGGCAGCUCCCUCCCUGCCUAUGUCUCACCACUGGCCCCAUCCCAGUGGGUCACAGCAAGGGAUCCAGCCCUGCCAGCAAGGAGCUGAACCCUCUGCCACUGUGUGCUUCCCCCCAUACUGAUUCCCUGCCAUAAAUUCAAGCUCGUGUACAAGCAGACACCUUGAGGAAGGCAUACAAUGAACAGUAUUCGAGGCUCCAACCCACAUCCUGCCCAUGCACAGAGCAUCAGCUGGUGCCAAGGCAGGUUUUGCUUUUUAUUUUCUUUUAUUUUCUUUUCAAAACCCAACUGCUGCAGUCAUUAAUUCCAGCAGUAGGUAUUGCUGUGGAGGAGGACUUGUUAAAUCCCAACAAAUUUAAUUAGGUCCUGGUUUCUCUUCACUGUUUCAUCAAUUAGUGCAAGCACAUACUGGUUUGUAAAACAAUCAAUAGGGUGGGGUUUUAAUCACUUAAGAACAUUAUUUAUCCCAUGGUCAGCCAGGUGGCUUGUGUUUAUAAAAGGGACUUGAAAGCUGUAGGACUGCUUCUAUAGAGCAGUGUGGCUGGUUCACCAUGUGUCAUCACGACCCACAUGACAACUACUGAGAAAAACAGAUGACCCUGGACCAAUGUUGAAAUGAAGACUUCUUCUGCUCCAGCACAGGAUGGCAGCGGGCCUACCGUAGCUGAUGGGUGGCUGAAGCAAAAAUAUCCCUGGCAGCUAAUAAAAAGCUCAUGUUUGCAACCAAGUCCAUUCCACAGGGAGCAAACAGCCCCACCAGGAGAAGAGCAGGAGCUGGCAGGUGUUUCCAGGGAACAGAUCAGGUGCCAUGGCACACAACUCUCACCAGUGACAGACUCUUUUUCAACAUUUCCUCCAUCUACAAAUACGAGGCUGUGUCCUUCAAAAAUCUCUUUCAUUUUAAUUACCUCAUUCAUUCAGCUCACGGCUGUGUCCCCAGGCCCUCCUGUGCCUCUGCAGCUCCACAGAGAGCAGGGCACCCACUGUGUACACCCCACCCUGCCUCUGGUGGCAAAGACAAGGAGUGAGCUUUUGGAAGCACGCCUGUAAGGGUGUCCACAGGGUGUGGGCCAUGUGUGCACAUCCUUCUGUGAGUGUUGAAACCUCAGCUGAUGUUAGAAAAAGGAGAGAAAUACAGACAGCCUGUGGUGAAGGAAUGUUUGGUUUUUAGUGUGUGUACAAUUACUUAAAAAAAAAAAAGUGUUUAGGGGAUCUCUGUUUGACAUGUGGGUUUACACCAUUGGUGAAUAAAUUCAAUGUCAGGUGAUAACCUUCCUCAUAAUUCCAGCCUCUAGCUGACGUUGCUGGAUGCUGCAGAAGGGAGAUCUCUGCAUCUAGGGUUCAUCUUCUUUCCCUACCCUGUGCUUGUCCACAAGCCUUUUUUUUUUUUUUUUUUUUUUUUUUGUGUGCGUGUGUUUUGGUUUUGUUUUGGUUGUUUGUUUGAAAUCAUUUCUGCAAGCAUAUUGCAGUCUAUAAAAUGUUUUAAAAUUCUUUCCUGGUUGUUUGCAUUUCUAAACUGGAGGUCUUCUGCCUGGACGUAACACCACCUACAAUUCCCUAACACCCUCUGUGGAGUAGUUACUUCUUAAAUAGGGAUGCAUGAAUAUUUAUGAUGCAAAGUGCAUUUUCUCUGAAUAUUCUGCAACAUCAGUUAAAAGUAUUUUUAUGACUGUUUCUACCAUCGACUUGUAAAUGUAUGGAAAGCAGGCACAAAGUAAUUGUUUGGCUGCAUUCACUCAUCCUCUUUUGUAACAGUUCCUGUCACCUAAUAGCUGGUAGGAGACUGCAAAGAGACAGAGGGGCACAGAACCAAGCUAUCGAGGUCCACUGGCAACCCACAUGUGAGAAUAGAAACCAAAUCGCAGCUUUGCAAGAGCCUAAGAAAAGGGAUGGGAGCAGGGUGGGACGGGGUGUCCCCCCUUUGUCACAAGGUGACCCCUUCUAAUUACACCUGGAUAAGACAUUAGGGCAAAAGAAAUCAUUCUGUAUUGUGGUUGUCCAAUUUAUGUACUCUCAAGAGGAUUAGCUGUCCAUCGCUACAGCUAUUUUUGGCAUAUUCCACAGCUGCUAAUUUCAUUAAAUAGCCCUGAGAAGGGAGUGUGUUAGCGGUCAAUAUAGUUUCACAUUUUUCUUUCCCAUUACUAUUUUUCUUAGACUUAUCCUUUGCACAGAAAGGAAAUGCACAUGAAGCUUAUCCAGUUCUUGGUUAUUGAGGAAUAAAUAAUUUUGAGCAUUGAAAAACUUUCACAGAAGACCAACUUUAUUGGACCUUAGAAAUCAGGGAAGAAAUUAAUAAGUAAAAUGAAAAAAAAAAAAA